GAUGAACGCUGGCGGCGUGCUUAACACAUGCAAGUCGAACGAAGCAAGAAGCGAAGCGCAAGCAGAGGUUCUUGACUGAGUGGCGGACGGGUGAGUAACGCGUGGAUAACCUGCCUUUCACAGGGGGAUAACAGCUGGAAACGGCUGCUAAUACCGCAUGAGCCUCUUUUAUCGCAUGACGGGAGAGGGAAAGAGAAAUCGGUGAGAGAUGGAUCCGCGUCCGAUUAGCUAGUUGGAGGGGUAACAGCCCACCAAGGCGACGAUCGGUAGCCGACCUGAGAGGGUGGACGGCCACAUUGGGACUGAGACACGGCCCAA
This 318-nucleotide ribosomal RNA is filed under the name uncultured bacterium. RNAcentral describes it as "bacterial SSU rRNA". It matches the Rfam family "Bacterial small subunit ribosomal RNA", at positions 28 to 334 of the family's 1533-position model. The record is from RNAcentral.